UAAAAUUCAAUUAUUGAGCUAUUUUUAAAUUAUUAUUACAUUUUUUUAAUCUCAGUCGUUGAUUAAAAUUAAUCCAACGACAGAGAUCAAUCCACUUUUUUCUUCCCUUCUUAAACAAAACAACCAACCCUAAUCUCAAAUUUUUCACCCUCAAAACAAAACAGUCGCCUCCACAGCCCUCUCUCUUCUCUCACCAGAAAAUAAUAACCACAUCAACCCACCCCGCCGCCUCUCACUAGUCGGCGGAACCCCACUUUCCUUCUGUUCUUUCUCUUUCUCCGGCGACUUCACCAAAUGAACGUCGUUUAACAAACAAAACCCCACAAUAGACACUGCUUCCACCACCGGCGAAUCCAAGCCAGCUGCACCUCUGCCAAAACAAUACCGGAGCUCCGUAGGCAAACCCAACAAAAAAACCACUAUCGUCGCUGCUCCAUCAACGAAAACAUCUUGCUAUCUGGCACGUGAGAUUUUUAGUACUUGAAUUUCCAAAAAACCACCGUCGUAAGGUAAUAAAGAUGUGACUUUUUCUUUGCAAACUGUUUUGCCUACAAGAUGAACUUGAAUAUCAGUAGUUGACCAUUCUAAUUAGGAGUUAGGACAACAAUUUAAACAUUUUUUAAAAUUAUUAAUUUUUUACUGAAUAUGGUUUGUAAGGAUGGAGACUGAAAGUUGUGUAUUUGGCUAAAUAAAUUAUGUAUGAUGAAAGAUCUGUUUAAAAUCCCUAUUUUUCUCCAUUUGGGAGUCCAGUAAGCAUGGUAUAUUGAUUAUAAGAAUAAGAAAAGGAAUUCAGCUAAAGUAUAUUUAACAAGAUCAAGUGAUUUUUUUUACUCUAUUCUAGAGUUUUAGCUCUUCUAUGUUGACACAGACCUUCUAUAUCUCUUCUCAUUUGUAACAUGAUUAUUAAUUGUUUUCCAUUCUAAUUUAUGUGGCAUAGUUUAAAUUGAUACAAGUUUAAGUUAAAAUUAAAGAUGUUUCAAGCUUUUUUAAUAGAGAUAAUUAAGAGGCAGAACAUACAACUAAAAAGUACUGUAUUCAAGAAUUUGUAUUUAAGUUAAUAAUGUGGUUGAUUAGUAGGACUAACAAUUGCAUUAUUAUUCAUUACCGUCAAGUUUAUUUGUAUUUAAGCUAGUAAUUCGGUUGACUAGUAGGACUAACAAUUGCAUUAUUAUUCAUUACCGUCAAGUUUAUUUGUAUUUAAGCUAGUAAUGCGGUUGACUAGUAGGACUAACAAGUGCUUUAUUGUUCAUUGCUGUUAAGUUAAUUUGUAUUUAAGUUAGUAAUAUGGUUAACUGGUAGGACUAUGAAGUGCAUUAUUUUUCAUUACUGUCAAGUUAUAUUAAGUACUCCGUUUCAAUUUGUUUGUCUGAUUUAAUUUUGAACGGAGUUUAACAAAGUGAAGAACAUUUUAAAAUCUUAUGAUCUUAAAUUAAAACUGUAUAUAAUGAUCAAGUGUAGUAUUUUGAAAUGUGUACUACUGACUUCAAAAUGAUCAAGUGACGUCACUUGAGAAGUGGAUUAGUGACUUGAAAAAUAGUUAAGUGUAGCGACUUGAAAUGUGAAUUAGUUACUUGAAAAUGGCCAAGUGUAGUCACUUGAAAUGUGUACUAGUGAGUUGAAAAUGGUUAAUUAUAGUGACUUGAAAAUGUUUAAGUAUAGUGACUUGAAAUGUCAAUUAGCUAUUUGAAAAUGGUUUGAGUGUAGUGACUUGAAAUGUGUACUAGUGACUUGAAAAUGAUCAAGUGUAGUUACUUGAAAUUGUGAAUUUAUGACUUGAAAAUAAUUAAGUGUAGUUAUUUAAAAUUGUGAACUUGUGACUUGAAAAUGGUUAAGUUUAGUCAAUUGAAAUGUGUACUAAUAACUUGAAAAUAAUAAAGUAUCGUUACUUGAAAAUUGUUAAGAAUAGUAACUUCAAAUGUGAAUUAGUUACUUGAAAAUGAUUAAGUGUAGUGACUUGAAAUGUGAACUAGUCACUUGAAAAUGGUCAAGUGUAGUCACUUGAAAUGUGUACUAGUGAAUUGAAAAUGGUUUAAGUGUAGUACUUGAAAUGUUUACUAGUGACUUUAAAAUGGUCUAGCCAUUUGAAAUUUUGAACGUGUGACUUUAAAAUGAUUAAGUGUAAUUACUUGAAAUGUAUACUUAUGACUUUAAAAUGAGUAAGUGUAGUGACUUGAAAUGUUUACUUGUGACUUUAAAAUGGUUAAGUGUAGUCACUUGGAUGUGAACUAAGUUACUUGAAAUUGUGAACUUGUGACUUGAAAUAAUUAAAUGUAGUGUCUUGAAAUGUAUACUAGUUACUUGAAAAUAAUUAAGUGUAGUGACUUGAAAUGUAUACUAGUGACUUUAAAAUGAUUAAGUGUAGUGACUUGAAAUGUGUACCAGUGACUUGAAAAUAGUUAAGUGUAGUUACUUGAAAAUGGUUUAAUAUAGUUACUUGAAAUGUGUACUAGUGACUUAAAAAUGGUUAAGUGUAGUUACUUGAAAUGUGAAUUAGUUACUUGAAAGUGGUUAAGUAUAGUGACUUGAAAUGAAUGAUUUAGUGACUUGAAGAUAGUUAAAUAUAGUUAUUUAAAAUGUGAAGUACUUACUUGAAAAUGGUUAAGUACAUUGACUUGAAAUGUGAGUUAAUUAUUUGAAAAUAGUUAAGUAUAGUGAUUUGAAACGUAUACUAGUGACUUGAAAAUGAUUAAGUGUAGCGACUUGCAAUGUGAAUUAGUUAUUUGAAAAUCGUUAAGUGUAGUGACUUGAAAUGUGUGCUAGUGAGUUGAUAAUGGUUAAGUGUAGUUACUUGAAAUGUGAAUUUGUGUUUUGAAUUUACUAAAGUGUGGUAACGUGAGAACUGAUUUAAUAACUUGAAAAUAUUUAAGUUUAGGUACUUGAAAGGUGAACUUUUAUUUUGAAUUUACUCAAGUGUGGUCACUUGAGAAGUGAAUUAGUUACUUGAAAAUCCAAUUGUUGGGGGGGGUGGGGGUGGGGUGGAUAAGUGCGGAUAACUUGGGUAAAAAAUAGAUCUAUUAUAGCUCUAAUGGAUCUAUUUUUAUUUGUGCGUGGAUAUUUCUUAACUUCUCUAAACAUUUUUUAUUUUUAGUGUAUUUAUUUUAAUUUUAUUAAUGUUCAUAUCUUGGGGGUGAUUAGAUGGUAUUUGAUUAAAUGCUUUACUGUAAUAUUCUUUAGUUUUUUUCACUUAGUCUUUGUAAUUCUUGUAUAUUAUUUUGGAGGUAUUCAAAAUAUUCUAUAUCUUUUAUUCUAAAAUAUUCAAUUAAAGUAUUUCUGUUAAUCUCAUUUCUUCCAUAUCUUGUCCCUAAUAGUUUAAAUACUCAUAGUAUAUCAUUUUAUCCUAAAGUAGUUGUGAUACUGCAAAUUUCUUUGGAAUAAUUUAUUCUAAUUGUACUAUAUCUGAUAUUAAGUUCUAGGUUAUCUAUUUUGCUAAUUAUCCUGUCUUUUUCGUCUAUGAAUAAUUAUAUAUCUAAAUCAUAUUCUAAACUGUCUUUUAAUUCUAAUUGUUUUAUGGUUUUAUUUAUCCAAAUUAAUCUUUCUUUUAAUUAUUCUCUUCCUUUUCUAAGCUGGUUUCUAUAAUUAAUUUCUUCGUAUAGCCAACUUUGUUCUUUGAAUAUAUUCUAGCAUUUCUUAAUCUGUAUAAUAUCCAUCUGAAUAAUUAUCUAGGUAGUAAUAGUGAUUGUCAUCACUUAAGUAUAUUUCUCCUAACUCAUCUUCUAUCUGAUUUAUAUCUAACUCUUCAUCUUCAAUGUUAAAUAUUUUUUCCCAUAUUAUUUUUUUUACGUUUAUAAUUUCUAUAUCUCUAAGUAUGUAUAAAACUAGUGCUUCAAAAUUAUCUAUCAUUUAGGUGGGUUAAUUAAAUUCUUUUUCAUAAUUUUCUUUAGUUGUUUGUUUUAAUCUUAUUAAUUCCUCUAUAUUUUCAUUAAGAUAUUCUGGUUUAGUAUGUAGGUAUAUGUAAGAGUAGUUAGGUAGGUGUGAUAUAUAAUUUAUUCUAGUCAUAAAACAUUUAUCAAAUAUUUUUUUCAAUAUUAUUUUUCUUAUAUCUACAAUUUCUAUAUCCUUAAGUACAUACAAAACAAGUAUUUUAAAUUUAUCUAACAUUUCGUCAGAUAAAUAAGUAUUCAUUUUUCAUAUGAUGCCUUUUCAAAAUAUUCCCUUCAAUCAUACACAUAACAAAAUAUGAUCAUUUUAGAUUACUAUAUACUAGAUUAUUCUUAAAUAACAUGUUCUCUGGUCACUAUUAGCAUGGUAAUCUGGAUACUAUUCCCUUAAACAGUGCCUCUACUCUGGCUACUCCCCUAUCACGGCUUUCUUGCCUCAUCGGUUUCACCCUUAGGAUGACAUAGUUCUUAGAGAUUUUUUUCCUUUUCUGCUUUGCUAAUAAACUUCUUAACAUGCUAUUUUUUUAAUAAUUCUACUAUAAAGUAACUAACAAGAACUUAUUUUAUGAAAUCAUGAUUGUCAGGAAUUUAUGAAUUUAGCUAUUCAUAAUCGUAAAUAAAUAUACCUGUUCUGGUAGGUUUGAUAAUUCUGAGCUUUGUUCAUCUAUAGCUUUUCCUUAGAAAUAUAUCUGUUUUUUAUUAAAUAUUCAAAAGUUUUUUGUGUACAAGAGAGAUAGCUUGCUUUCAACACAUGAAAGUCUUGUCUUUAUCUUGCUGAAUGACUUACAUAUUUAUAGGAGGAAAUAAACUAUUCCUACUUCACACGUUUUUUACAUGUAAAGUAUACUAUUCCCACUUUUUACAAAAAAAAUCUUCCAUUUUAAUAGUAGAAAAGGACUAGACUAAACUAGACUAGUAUAAUAAGACAAAACUAGGACCUAUCUUUACAAAAGAAAAAAUCUUAAGACUAAAAAAUAAAAAAUCAAUAAUGGCACUUUGGCCAAAAAGUCCAAAACUAAACAAUUUACGUAACAAAAUUUCAAAACUAUAUAUGUCACUUUAUAUAUUUUAUUAUCUUGUUUUUUGUCUUUAUUCCAUCAUUACUCCAUUGAUUUUUAUCUUCUAGCUCACAUUAUCUUUUUGGUUGAUUUUUUUUAUUCUAGCCAGACUUCCGAAAUAAUAUUAUCUUCUCCAUUACAUCUCGAACAUUGAUGGUCUGGAUAUUUGUGUCCAAUUAUCUUGCAAUAUCUUGUUAAUAAUUUGUUUGAAAUAAAUCCUUCCUAACAGCUCUUCCAGUAGAUUGUUUCUCUGGGUUAAGUAAUGUCAUUAUUCAUUGCCUAACAUCUUCCAUAUUUGUUUGUCGUAGUUCUCUUGAAUUUGAAUAAAUCAUUUGAUGAUCUCUUGAAUAAUAGCUCCAUAUUGGAUUUUCAUUGAUAUAAUUAUUUGCUAAUUCUUGAAUAAUUGUAGCUAUUCCAAUAAGUCAUUUAUUUGCGUAAAAAUUAGGUAUCUCGAUUUUGGGUAUCUCUGGCUACUGCACAAUAUCUUUCGGUAUAAUCAUAUCUUUGGUUAAUCCUACUUUUACAAUUUGUAUAACUAGUUUGAUCUCGUCGUAUAAUAUCUCUGCUGGUGCAGUAUAAAACUUUAUAUAAAAUACAUUUCCUUUGGUUACUCUUAUAUAGGUGGUGAAUACUUUAUGCAAUUCUUCUAUAGCUGUUAGUUCUUCUCUAUCUUGGGUAUAUACGGUAUUUAAUAAUCCAUAGUCAAAACAAGUUUUUAUUAAGCUUGAGUUGAUUUUGGGUAGUGCGAUUAGCUUUUUGUAACCUUGCAAUUUUUGGGUUAUAUAGUUUGUGUUUGGUUCUUGGAUAUUUGUAGCUCUGGGGUUAAGGUUUAGAAAAGUUUGUACUUUAUAGAUAUUUUCUAUAUAUCCUCGGGCUAUAUGGUUAUAAGUUUUUUUAUCUGGUUCAAACUAUCUCGAUAUUUGGUAAUUUGUGAGGGUAUGUACAAGGGGUCUUUUUGUAUUUUUGGUAUAAAUGGUUUUUCAAAUAUCUUAUUCAUGUUCAUGUUCUGAUAUCUUUGUUCACUAACUCCUUUGCUUGUACCUUCAAUUGUAGAUUGAUAAAUGUUAUGGGUUUUAUGGAGUGUCCCAGCAUCUCCUUCUAGCUCUGGAACUUUAAUAACUUCCGAUCGACAGAGUUCUGCACACUGCUGAGUUAGCUGAUUCAUAGCCUUAGACUUCUGUUUAACUUCAUUAGUCUUUAGCUUUUCUAUUUCAUUAUCCAUAUUGUCCACUUUCAUUGAAAGCGUAGUUAGGGUUUUGAGUAUCUUUUCUAAAG
This 6211-nucleotide long non-coding RNA is filed under the name Capsicum annuum. Its description in RNAcentral is "long non-coding RNA (CANN_LNC020363)". Lineage: Eukaryota; Viridiplantae; Streptophyta; Magnoliopsida; Solanales; Solanaceae. The record is from RNAcentral.